GAGAAACCCUGGAAUCAAAAAUGGGCAAUCCUGAGCCAAAUCCUAUUUUAUGAGAACAAAAACAAACAAGGGGUCAGAACGGGAGAAAGAGGAUAGGUGCAGAGACUCAAUGGAAGCUGUUCUAACAAAUGGAGUUGACUGCCUUUUUGGGGGAAAGAAAGGAAUUCUUCUAUCGAAUAUCGAAAGGCCAUAAAGGAUGAAGGAGAAGCCUAUAUACACUAUGUAUACGUAAUGAAAAAAUACACUAUGUAUACGUAAUGAAAAAGGAUCUCAAAAAUGACGACCCGAAUACUUUUUGUUUUUCUUUUGAAGAACUAAUUAAUCGGACGAGAAUAAAGAUAGAGUCCCAUUCUACAUGCCAAUAUCAAUACUGGCAACAAUGAAAUUUAUAGUAAGAGGAAAAUCCGUCGACUUUAGAAAUCGUGAGGGUUCAAGUCCCUCUAUCCCCAAAUCCCCCAAAAAAGGCCCAUUUAACUCCCUAACGAUUUAUCCUAUGUUAGUGGUUCCAAAUUCGUUAUGUUUCUCAUUCAUCCUACUCUUUUCCAUUUACAAACGUAUCCGAGCAGAAUUUUUUCUCUUAUCACACACAAGUCGUGUGGUAUAUAGGAUACACGUACAAAUGAACACUUUUGAGCAAGGAAUCUCCAUGUGAAUGAUUCACAAUCCAUAUCAUUGCUCAUACUGAAACUGACAAAGUCUGCUUUUUGAAUAUUCAAGAAAUGCAAUUCCCCGUCCAAGACUUUUAAGACUGAAUUUCGUCUUUUUUAAUUGACAUAGACCCAAGCCAUCUAGUAAAAUGAAAAUGAUGCGUCGGUAAUGGUCGGGAUAGCUCA
This 833-nucleotide unclassified non-coding RNA is filed under the name Rhus virens. Its description in RNAcentral is "partial contains tRNA-Leu (trnL) and trnL-trnF intergenic spacer". The stretch from base 1 to 368 matches the Rfam family "Group I catalytic intron", at positions 63 to 253 of the family's 253-position model. Lineage: Eukaryota; Viridiplantae; Streptophyta; Magnoliopsida; Sapindales; Anacardiaceae. The record is from RNAcentral.